UGUUUGUUCGUUGAUAUGGUUUGUGUAACUUUGAUAGCUUGAUUAUUUUAGCUCGCCAACUCUUUUCUUAACUGUUGAUAGCAAUCUGUCUCCUUCCACUGUGGUUUGCUUAAUUUUCCUGUCUUAUGUAGUAAAUUGGUUUUAUUUUCUUUUUCUAUCUAGUGAAGAAUCAAAUUAGAUUUUUUUUUCAUUUAAUCAAGAGCUUUAUAUGAUUUUGAAAGUUAUUAUCAUGGUCUGUAAAUGAUCGCUGAAACUCAAAUUUGAGCAGGGAAGCUGAAUGUUUGAUAGUGUUUUAUGAAGUUCUAGGUUCUGAGUGUUUUAUC
Molecule: long non-coding RNA, 323 nt
Filed under: Lathyrus oleraceus (garden pea)
Lineage: Eukaryota; Viridiplantae; Streptophyta; Magnoliopsida; Fabales; Fabaceae
Description: Pisum sativum (pea) long non-coding RNA (PSAT_LNC029731)
Source: RNAcentral